This is an RNA transcript of Artibeus jamaicensis (Jamaican fruit-eating bat), 3022 nucleotides long. RefSeq lists it as uncharacterized. NCBI's taxonomy places the organism in Eukaryota, Metazoa, Chordata, Mammalia, Chiroptera, Phyllostomidae. The transcript has 5 exons. The record is from RefSeq and is a predicted model, not a curated record.
GUCGGUUGUCGCCAUCUCGCUUCUUCUUCUUGUUGCGGCCCAUAACUGUGAGGCCUGGGCGGUGCUGUUUCCCCUCUCCUAAGAGAGCAGGGAAGAGAAGGAGAAAGAGAGGGGGAGAAACAUCAAUCAGCUGCCUCUUGUGAUGCGGGCAUGUGCCCGGACUGGGAAUCAAACUGCGACCUUUUGCUUUGCGGAAUGACACCCACCCAACUGAGCCACACCAGUCAGGGCUCACACACUCCUGAUGCACAGCCAUGCAGAGCCUCAUCUUCCCCAUUUGUGUGGCAGCUGUUUAACCGAACGCCUACUAUGUGCCUCGCCUGGAGCUGCUCUGAGAGAAUUCAAUGAUGAAACCUUCCCAGUCCCUGCUCUUAAGCAGCUCACUGUUAGGGCGGAAUGUGGCCAUGGACCUCAGGAAGGAGCAGCGUGAUGCUGGCUCUCGGGGGUCACAGCACCAAAGAGAAGAGAUAUGGACCAGGAGUGACCCACGUUGGAGGUCAGACCAACACGCCCACCCUGCUCUCCACUGCCUGCCCAGCCCACCACAGGUCGCCUUCCUCCAGAUGGCCGAAGCCCACCCUGGCACAGGAGGACUGGGGAGUGCACAGGAUGGCAAGGAGCCCAGGGAGGAGGCUGGGCCACACCCACAGUGAGCCCCUCCCCCCUCUUCCCAGACUAAGCAGGCUGCCUCAGAAAAAACCACAGCAGCUAUACUUUUUCCUGCAGGGCCUUCCCCAAACCUCCACCUGGGGGGCGGGGUGCAUAGCUCCACCUCCUUUCCACCGUGCUUCCCCUCCAUGGGCCACAGGCGCCCUCUCUGCCUGAUCGGGUAGUCUGGGCAUUUCAGGAGGAGGCCUAAGCCAAGGACGGGGAACUUCGCUCCCCCACCGCACCCCCUCUCCAGGUAUUUUCCAGCUGGUCUGUGCACGGCCCUUGCCCAGCUGCCGUCAGGCGGGCCUGGCCAGCGGUUCCAGCCCCGUGGUUAGGCUCUCGGGGGCCCUGAGUGCUUCUUCUCCAUUCUUCUCCCAACCCGAAGACACGUGGGCACCAGGGAGCAUUUGCCAUUGCACGCGGGGCCACUUUACUCCUUGUGGGCAUCUGGCCAGCCAAGGUCUAGCAGAGAGACGUGUGGCAUGGUGAACAGGACCCUGGAGAGGCCCCUUUGAGAGUCUGGAGACUUGGGUGCUGGUCCUGGCCCUCCCGAGGCAUCGUGGCAAGUCCGUUCUCUCCGUGCGCCUCAGUUGCCCCCGUCCGUGUGUUGGAGAGGUGAAACCCUGCUCCUCUGCACCAGGUCGGCACAGGGUGGCAUUCUGAUCCAAAUAGGUUUUGUUUUCAUAGUCUCGGGAGGUCUCAGCUUCUUUCCCCAGGCUGUUUACCGUCCUGGGGUCAAUGCCUCUGGAAGGUUCCUCUACCCCCCACCUCACCCCCAUCAGUUCCCCCUCACUGAGGCUGAGGCGGGGAGUCUCUCCAGAUCCCAUUCAUUGUCCCCUAUAACAGGGACUGCGGUUUUCCUGGGCACAGGGACAGGGUGCAUUGUGUGGUGGCGCCGCCCAUGUAUCUGCCAGGCCCUGUGCCCGGCGCCUCGCUUUCAAGCCUGAUCUCAUUUCAUCUCCACCUCGCCCCAUCUGGUCUCAUCUAGCAGAUGGGCUGAGCCGUUCAGGGACACGGCCUGGUCCCCCGAAAUGAAGGUCCUGUUAGAGUCAGGGAGAGAAAGGCAGGCCUAGCGCGGACGGAGGCUGCCGGGCUCUGACUGUGGCCGCGUCCUUGACCUCUCCGAACCUGCUCCUGGGCCUGGAAAGUGGGAGCCUUACCCAGCCAGUCACCAGAGGAGUCCACGAGUGAUGUGGGAGGGGCUCUACAUUACUUCUCUCUUCUGCACCUCCCCGGGCCAAGGCCCCUCUCCCCCUGGGCCUUGCCUCCUUGUUCAGCAGUCAGGAAUUCCUCCACCCUGAGGGCCUGCCCUACGGCUGGACCUUGCCUGCUGCAGGAGAUGAGCUCGGCUUGCCCAGGGCACUGCGGCCCUUCCCAGCCUGCCUUGCCCUCGUGCAGGCUGGGCCUCCUCCAGCUGGCAGAGGUGGAGAGGGCUGCCGGGCCCACUGAAACGCCACCCACAGCGCCCGCCAACCUGGCCGGCCUGGGUGGGGAAAGCACGGUGACUGGAGCCAGGCAUCCUGGAAGUCGGAGCAGGCAGGGACCCCAGGUGCCGCUCCAGGUGCGAACGUAGCAACCAGCCAGUGCGGUAGCAGCUUGACCAAGGUCACACCAGAGGCUGGAGCUGGUCCAUCUGCUGAGCCAAGGAGAGAACGCUGAGGGCCUGGCAUACCUGGACCUCAAACAAUGAUUUUUUUGUUUGUUUUUCUAAUGAAGAUUUUUAUUUCUUUACUUUUAGAGAGAGGGGGAAGGGAGGAAGAAAGAGAGGGAGAGAAACAUCGGUGGGCACUCGGUUCACUGAACCGCAACAGCCAGAGCGAUGAUCUUUUUUGGAUCCUGCUACAUGAAGGAUGGAAAGGACUGGUGUGGGGGCAGAGAACUCCGCUCCCCCACCGCACCCCCUCUUCAGGUAUUUUCCAGCUGGUCUGUGCAGCAGGAGCCAACCCCUCCCCACGCCCCCCCGCCUUUGCUUGUGCUGCUCCUCUCACCCAGGCAGCCACCUCCCCCAACACGGUGGAUGCCUGCCACAUUCCCCUUCCCCGCUGGUGUCCAUGCCCACCUCUGAUCACAGGCCCCGACUUGCCUUUGGUGAACCACCCUCGUUCACAUGAGGCCCAGCUGGGGCCAGGCCUGUCAUUCGUUAGCCCUCCGGGGCUCAGGCAUGAGUCUUUUCAGGUUUUUUUAAAACAAAAAACAAAAAAUGAGCCCUGGCUGGUGUAGCACAGUGGAUUGAGCGCAGGCCUGCGAACCAAAGCUUCGCUGGUUGGAUUCCCGGUCAGGGCACAUGCCUGGGUUGCAGACCAGGUCCCCAGUAUGGGGUGUGCUAGAGGCAAGCACACAUUGAUGUUUCUCUCCCUGUCUCCCUCUCUUC